RNAcentral lists this ribosomal RNA (1321 nucleotides) under Campylobacter jejuni. Its description in RNAcentral is "bacterial SSU rRNA". It matches the Rfam family "Bacterial small subunit ribosomal RNA", at positions 195 to 1533 of the family's 1533-position model. The record is from RNAcentral. Lineage: Bacteria; Pseudomonadati; Campylobacterota; Epsilonproteobacteria; Campylobacterales; Campylobacteraceae.
AGUUGAGUAGGGAAAGUUUUUCGGUGUAGGAUGAGACUAUAUAGUAUCAGCUAGUUGGUAAGGUAAUGGCUUACCAAGGCUAUGACGCUUAACUGGUCUGAGAGGAUGAUCAGUCACACUGGAACUGAGACACGGUCCAGACUCCUACGGGAGGCAGCAGUAGGGAAUAUUGCGCAAUGGGGGAAACCCUGACGCAGCAACGCCGCGUGGAGGAUGACACUUUUCGGAGCGUAAACUCCUUUUCUUAGGGAAGAAUUCUGACGGUACCUAAGGAAUAAGCACCGGCUAACUCCGUGCCAGCAGCCGCGGUAAUACGGAGGGUGCAAGCGUUACUCGGAAUCACUGGGCGUAAAGGGCGCGUAGGCGGAUUAUCAAGUCUCUUGUGAAAUCUAAUGGCUUAACCAUUAAACUGCUUGGGAAACUGAUAGUCUAGAGUGAGGGAGAGGCAGAUGGAAUUGGUGGUGUAGGGGUAAAAUCCGUAGAUAUCACCAAGAAUACCCAUUGCGAAGGCGAUCUGCUGGAACUCAACUGACGCUAAGGCGCGAAAGCGUGGGGAGCAAACAGGAUUAGAUACCCUGGUAGUCCACGCCCUAAACGAUGUACACUAGUUGUUGGGGUGCUAGUCAUCUCAGUAAUGCAGCUAACGCAUUAAGUGUACCGCCUGGGGAGUACGGUCGCAAGAUUAAAACUCAAAGGAAUAGACGGGGACCCGCACAAGCGGUGGAGCAUGUGGUUUAAUUCGAAGAUACGCGAAGAACCUUACCUGGGCUUGAUAUCCUAAGAACCUUUUAGAGAUAAGAGGGUGCUAGCUUGCUAGAACUUAGAGACAGGUGCUGCACGGCUGUCGUCAGCUCGUGUCGUGAGAUGUUGGGUUAAGUCCCGCAACGAGCGCAACCCACGUAUUUAGUUGCUAACGGUUCGGCCGAGCACUCUAAAUAGACUGCCUUCGUAAGGAGGAGGAAGGUGUGGACGACGUCAAGUCAUCAUGGCCCUUAUGCCCAGGGCGACACACGUGCUACAAUGGCAUAUACAAUGAGACGCAAUACCGCGAGGUGGAGCAAAUCUAUAAAAUAUGUCCCAGUUCGGAUUGUUCUCUGCAACUCGAGAGCAUGAAGCCGGAAUCGCUAGUAAUCGUAGAUCAGCCAUGCUACGGUGAAUACGUUCCCGGGUCUUGUACUCACCGCCCGUCACACCAUGGGAGUUGAUUUCACUCGAAGCCGGAAUACUAAACUAGUUACCGUCCACAGUGGAAUCAGCGACUGGGGUGAAGUCGUAACAAGGUAACCGUAGGAGAACCUGCGGUUGGAUCACCUCCUUUCUA